GAAACUGGUUUCUGUUGAACGUUUAUUAAGGAUUUCAUCAGUGUAUUCAAAUAAGUGACGGUGAGAGGGUUAGAGGGGCCUAAGGUUUGCAUGAUCACUUGUAAAUUAUCCCUCACAUAGAGGUAACGAGUAUUACACAUCAGGAUUGACCAAUGUAAGGGCAAAUUAUAACAUGGAAAACUAGAUCUGGCUUUCAGUGAUUUUCUUAUAUCUUCUCUUUUCCAUGAUUUCCUUAAAUCUUCUCUCUUACAUAAUUUCCUUAAAUCUCUUCUUUUCCAUGAUUUCCUUCAAUCUUCUCUUUUUCAUGAUUUCCUUAAAUCUUCUGUUAAUCAUGAUUUCCUUAAAUAUUCUCUUUUUCAUUAAAGAGUUACACUGUACAAUGUAGCUACAGGCAAAUGGGAAUGAGCACUCUUAGGCUUAGAUUUUGCUCUAAAAUCAAUAACUAACCACCGAUGGAAUUCAUUUCCUAAAAUUAUAGUGGAUAAAACAAAAUUGCAUAAGUCCUGUAAGGACAGCAUUUCGCCAAAUGUCCAUCCUUCCUCGGUACAUACUUUUAUACCAUAUACUAAAAUGUAGAUCAUUUCACGGCCUAUCCGCCGAUAUAUAUAUCAUGUAAAAAUGUACUCUCUGCACAAACAUAUAUGUAUAUUUUCUGCGAAGAAACACAACACAGUUGGGGCUCCAUUCCUUUUUGUAUGUACGUGCGUGACGGACACUACGUUUCUGUCCGCACAGCUGCCUCAUAUACAGCCAUCUCUGUUCAAUAAAGUUACAUAGUUAGAGCUUUCUCCUUGUCUGAUUCAAGCAUACCCAUGUCGACGUCGUUGGGCCCCUUCCUCCAUCCGACAGUGCCAGAUACCUCCUGACAGUGAUCGACCAGUCCACCAGGUGGCCAGAAGCCACCAGAGACGCCUGCACCAAAGCCCUCCUAUCCAGCUGGAUCAGCCGCUUCAGAGUGCCAGAUGACAUCACUACAGACCAGGGAACUGCAUUCACCUCAGAACUCUGGACCUCCCUGGCAUGCCUGAUGGGGACCUAGCACCAUACGACCACGGCCUACAACCCGCAGCCAACGGCAUGGUGGAAAGGACCCACUACUCGCUCAAGGCCUCCCUGGUGGCAUGCUGCAUAGGCCCCAACUGAAAGGCAUAGCUACCGUGGGUUCUCCUUGGCCUCUGCACCGCCCCAAGAGCAAGCGACCCGUCACCAUCAGAGAAGGUUUACGGUGAGACCCUGACAGGCCAAGUGAAUUCUUCCCCUCUGAAGGCGUUCCUCGUCUCGAUCGGCGGCAGUGAGGACUGAAGCUCGCUGUCGUUCCCAACAAAGACAACCCCACAGAAGGCCCUCGCAGUACACCGCCUCAGAACACAGCCUUGCCCUACGAAAGCAGUCAAACCCUCCAGGGCCACCAUCAUGGGCAGCAUCCUGCUUCCCGACUCACUGGAUGACGAUGACCUGGAAGAUGUUCCCUGACGAAUGGAAUCUCGAACCCGUGGACUCCUCCAGCCCCCCACAAGAUUCCGCUGACCAUCAGCCAACGAUUAUUAAUUAAUCAUUGUCUUUGGGGGCAAUGGAAUCAAAGGGCACCUGGCUGAGGAAGGAAUUAACUGGUUCCAUAUUGAAUUGGUCACCUGGUCACCACAUGGCGAUUUGACCACAAGGGUCAGAGGUCACAGAAGGACAGAUAACACUGCUAUCUGGCCAGAUGUCGGUGAACUUUCUCCGAACUGAUAAAAGGACACAUACACGCUACAGACGGCCUUAUACAAGCUCAUACUGCCAGGGAGAUUGCACGCUUAGUUCCUGAGCAAAACCCCCAAACCAUGCUUCCUUCUUGGCACGGCUACUGCCAGCCUAUGUUAACUUGUAUAGUGCAAUGAUAAUCGCUUGUCAUCAGUGCCUAUGAGGAAGACAACUCUACUCUCCGAUCCAGAUGUGUUUCCUACAUACCACAUGGUCAGAUGCCCGACCACCAGUUAGUCUAGUUCAAGACCUAUUAAUUAACUGAUCACUAUUAAACUCAAUUGGGUAUCAUUCACUCUAAACUGAUACAAGCUUGUAAUGUGUAAAUAUAAUCAAGUAAGCUAACCUAAGAGUUUACCCAUUCUGAAGCAGGCCUUCAGUCUAAGUUUGUGGUAUGAAUGUGCUUCCUUAAAUAGGCCAUUCACAGAUCAGGUAUGCUAUCCCCCCAACUUGUGCAUCCCCUAGGUACAUUCAUAUCACUAAAUAUAUUGAAUUUCUGUACAAACAGGUCAGAAGGCAAAAGUGAGUGAGACCAAAUUUCUUGGCUUUAUAAUGGUUUACUGAAGAAAAGGCUAAAACAAGACUAAAAGUCAGGCCACAGUCUCUAGGCUGAAAAGAGAACAAAAAUAGUCAAACAAAAACUUUGACUCAAAACUGAAAUCAGUCAGAAUAUUUAAUCUCUCUAUUAGUAAAGCAUAGAGGACAUUGGGGAUCAUGUAUGAAGGCAGAUCAGAAAACCUGUAAAUUCUUUGUUAUAUCACGAUUAAGCGCCAUACUCCAUUGACUACACCAUGUAUUACUAUGCCCGGAAUCUUUGGUAAGACUGGCAUCUUUAUUUUUCCUUAGAGGAAAAUGACUGAAAUGAAAGUUGCAUUACCUUCACUCUUUACUAUCUAUUUUUAAAUCAAAAAAGCAUUUUAUCAGUAAAUACUUAAAUGAAUGAAGCUCUCCAUCUUAUUCUCUUUUAGGAUUUAAAUUCAUUAAUUGCUUUCUUGGUUUUGGGAAUAUGUAAUUUGUGCUGCUCUUAUGAGCUGCUUGUCAUUAAAAAAAUGAGUGCACCAUUUUCUCUCAACUUGAUUCUGUCGCGUUCCAAACACGAAAUAAGCAAGAAGAAAGCAGGCACAGAGACUAUGGUUCCCUCUCUGAUUUAUGUAUUUAGUAUGUGUUUUUGGGUUGACAAUUGAACAGAAUCGUGGGAAUUUGUUCUCCAUUUCAUAUUGAAACAUGUCUUGUAUUGGGCUUGCCACAGUAAUGCUAAAUUAAGUAAAACAUACAUAGAGAAAAAGCCUAAGUGGAAGCCCAGAUGACAUCCCUGAGCGAAAAAUGCACCUUUGCCUUUCCAAAAUCCACCAGGGUAAGACGUGUUUUGGUUGUGCUCCCGUUUCGCUGGCAGAUCAUUACCCAUGGACAUUCACAUUGUAAGUUAUGUCAGUAUACCGAAUUCAUCAAGUUAUGCUUGGCAGAGGCCGUAAGUCUGUUAAAGUGUAUUUCCUGCUCAUUCUCUGAUUCAUGUCAUUCUCUUUGGUAUUAAACGUGCAUGGUGAAAUUAUAGUUUAGGCCAGUGUUCCCUUAAGGACCAAGAGGUUAGUUGUUUCGAAGUGGGAUAGUUUGUAUAGUAAAUGGGACAUAUUGAUAUGAUUGUUAUGUAAGUGCUGAUCAUGAAAUCGUUUUUGGUUUAUUUUUGUAAUAAAAUUGUAAAAUCUUGA
Molecule: long non-coding RNA, 3449 nt
Organism: Macrobrachium nipponense
Lineage: Eukaryota; Metazoa; Arthropoda; Malacostraca; Decapoda; Palaemonidae
Exons: 2
Source: RefSeq, a predicted model, not a curated record